AAAGAAAGUAAGCAAGGGCGCAUGGCGGAUGCCUUGGCUCUCGGAGGCGAUGAAGGACGUGAUAAGCUGCGAUAAGCUUCGGGAAGGUGCAAAUAACCUUUGAUCCGAAGAUUUCCGAAUGGGACAACCCGGCAUUCUGAAGGAAUGUCAUCCAUCCUGGAUGGAAGCUAACGCAGGGAACUGAAACAUCUUAGUACCUGCAGGAAAAGAAAAUAAUAAUGAUUCCCCAAGUAGUGGCGAGCGAACGGGGAUUAGCCCAAACCAAUGUUGUUACGGCAAUAUUGGGGUUGUAGGACCACGAUGUCGCAAGAAAUUUAGUGAGAAGAAUUCUUUGGAAAAUGAAACCAUAGACGGUGAUAGUCCGGUAUUCGAAGCUAAACGAAGCGUAGUGGUAUCCUGAGUAGCGCGGGACACGAGGAAUCUUGCGUGAAUCUGCCGGGACCAUCCGGUAAGGCUAAAUACUCCCGAGAGACCGAUAGCGAACCAGUACUGUGAAGGAAAGGUGAAAAGCACUUCGAAUAGAAGAGUGAAAUAGUCCCUGAAACCGUGCGCCUACAAGCGGUCGGAGCAGCGUAAGUUGUGACGGCGUGCCUUUUGCAUAAUGAACCUACGAGUUACUUUUUCCGGCAAGGUUAAGCAUUUCAAAAUGUGUAGCCGAAGCGAAAGCGAGUCUGAACAGGGCGAUUAGUCGGAAGGAGUAGACGCGAAACCAAGUGAUCUACCCUUGGUCAGGUUGAAGGUUAGGUAACACUAACUGGAGGACCGAACCGAUAAGCGUUGAAAAGCUUCCGGAUGAACUGAGGGUGGGGGUGAAAGGCUAAUCAAACUUGGAGAUAGCUCGUACUCCCCGAAAUGCAUUUAGGUGCAGCCUUGGGAAUUACUACUGUGAGGUAGAGCGACUGAUAAGAUGCGAGGGCUUCACCGCCUAUCAAGUCUUGAUAAACUCCGAAUGCGCAGUAGUUCGAUCCCAGGAGUGAGGGCAUGGGUGCUAAGGUCCAUGUCCUAAAGGAGAAGAAUCCGGACCAUCAGCUAAGGUCCCGAAAUAAUUGCUAAGUUGAACUAACGAAGUCAGAUUGCUAAGACAGCUAGGAUGUUGGCUUGGAAGCAGCCAUUCAUUUAAAGAGUGCGUAACAGCUCACUAGUCGAGGAGUUUGGCGUGGAUAAUAAUCGGGCAUCAAGCAAUUUACCGAAGCUAUGGGAUGUUAACUAAACACUAACAUCGGUAGGGGAGCAUUCCACUCUGCGUCGAAGGUGAAGCGUGAGCUUUGCUGGAGCGUGUGGAAAAGCAAAUGUAGGUAUAAGUAACGAUAAAGGGGGUGAGAAACCCCCUCGCCGAAAGACUAAGGUUUCCUGAUCAACGCUAAUCGGAUCAGGGUUAGUCGGGUCCUAAGGCUCAGCCGAACGGUGAGGCCGAUGGCAGAACAGGUU
RNAcentral lists this ribosomal RNA (1428 nucleotides) under Salmonella enterica subsp. enterica serovar Typhimurium. RNAcentral's name for it is "partial 23S ribosomal RNA". It matches the Rfam family "Bacterial large subunit ribosomal RNA", at positions 1 to 1431 of the family's 2925-position model. The record is from RNAcentral. Lineage: Bacteria; Pseudomonadati; Pseudomonadota; Gammaproteobacteria; Enterobacterales; Enterobacteriaceae.